RNAcentral lists this ribosomal RNA (301 nucleotides) under uncultured bacterium. RNAcentral describes it as "partial 16S ribosomal RNA". It matches the Rfam family "Bacterial small subunit ribosomal RNA", at positions 509 to 807 of the family's 1533-position model. The record is from RNAcentral.
CAGUCGCCGCGGUAAUACGGAGGGUGCAAGCGUUAAUCGGAAUUACUGGGCGUAAAGCGCACGCAGGCGGUCUGUCAAGUCAGAUGUGAAAUCCCCGGGCUUAACCUGGGAACUGCAUUUGAAACUGGCAGGCUAGAGUCUUGUAGAGGGGGGUAGAAUUCCAGGUGUAGCGGUGAAAUGCGUAGAGAUCUGGAGGAAUACCGAUGGCGAAGGCAGCCAUCUGGCCUAAUACUGACGCUGAGGUACGAAAGCAUGGGGAGCAAACAGGAUUAGAUACCCCUGUAGUCCCUGUCUCUUAUAC